This 18-nucleotide ribosomal RNA is filed under the name Penicillium brevicompactum. RNAcentral describes it as "partial 18S ribosomal RNA". The record is from RNAcentral. Lineage: Eukaryota; Fungi; Ascomycota; Eurotiomycetes; Eurotiales; Aspergillaceae.
CUGGCGGAAGGAUCAUUA